Molecule: long non-coding RNA, 1316 nt
Organism: Mytilus californianus (California mussel)
Lineage: Eukaryota; Metazoa; Mollusca; Bivalvia; Mytilida; Mytilidae
Exons: 2
Source: RefSeq, a predicted model, not a curated record
GUAGAUUUUGCUGUUUACAUAUAAUGACAUCUUUAAAAUAUGAAGCAGGAAAAUUCGCUUGGUUAAUUGGUAUUGCUUUCUUUCUAUCAGGUUGCUGGCUGGGUUGUUGUAUUGCGCCAUGUUUUAUCAAAAGUUGUAAAGAUGUUGUUCACGUAUGUCCAGAAUGUAGUCAAGUAAUUGGAAGAUAUCAAAAGCUGUAACCUGACAUGUUAUUAUGCAUCAAGGGAAAAUAGAUGAUACAGAAGUGUAUAUAAACAUAACAAUCGGCUAAACUAUAGAAUUAAAAUAUUUUUUAUCAGUGUAAAACAAAGAAGAUAUUGCUGGUUUAUUGUUUAAUUUUUCUCGAAGAAUAUUUUAUGGAUAUCUGUUUUUGCAAUAUUGUCGGAUUUGAAAAUAUUGCAACUUAUUAAUUAUGCGCAAUAGUUAUCAUUUCACGCGGUAUCAACGAGCAUUUUUUCAUGCAACAGCAAUCCAACGAUAUAAAUUCAAUAAUCUAGCUGUAGUGAGGGCUAAUACAAAUUCGAUGAAAAAAUCAUUCACAUAUAGCUCCUCAAUACUUUGGAAUAAACUACCAAAAUGACAUAAAACUAUGUGAAAAUCUUGGUACUUUUAAAAGAAAAUGUGUAGAAAUUUUAUGUAACAACUCUCUAAAUCUAUCAUGUCUUAAAUAUUUAACAGUAUUGCUUUGAACAACGAUUCCCUUUGGUAUAUGUACAAAAUGGGCACGUCACAUCAAGUUAUUCUGAAUUUUUACUGUUUUGAUGUUGUAGCACUUUGAAAAUUUCGUAAUACACAGGCCUACAGAUGGGUCAUAAACCUUAAUAUAUAAAACAUUUUUUACUACCUAUUAAGAACUUACCCUUUUCCCUGCUAUUGAUUUUUUUCCCUGUAAUAUAUUGACAUGAUUUGUACCGAUAUGAAUUAAGAAUUGACAUUUUACAGAUUUUUCAGUUCUGAAACAGUACUGGUAAAAAGGAAACAGUACGAAAAUAUCCAGCACGGAAGGAAAAAACCAGUACUGAAAUGAAAUAGCUCUGAAUAAGAUUUUUAUUCUUCUAAAAAAUAAUAUAAUCUAGAAAUUACAAAAAUGUAAUUAUAGGUAUCGGCAAUGAAGGAUUGGGCUAAUUGGUGUAACAUUUUGGCUAAAAAUGUGAUACGUUUGGGUCAAUAUCAAGUCAACUUUUGGGUUAAAUUUUAACGUCGACAUUUGGGCUAAUCCUGCCAUGUAAAGAUAAAUUAAUUCAUUUCAGUUUAGAUAUCUUUAUUUUGAUUUUAUGUUAAUAUUCGAUAUGUAAUAAAUGACAUUCUAAUGAUAA